This 522-nucleotide ribosomal RNA is filed under the name uncultured beta proteobacterium. RNAcentral describes it as "bacterial SSU rRNA". It matches the Rfam family "Bacterial small subunit ribosomal RNA", at positions 8 to 521 of the family's 1533-position model. Lineage: Bacteria; Pseudomonadati; Pseudomonadota; Betaproteobacteria. The record is from RNAcentral.
AGAGUUUGAUCCUGGCUCAGAUUGAACGCUGGCGGCAUGCUUUACACAUGCAAGUCGAACGGCAGCGCGGGGAGCUUGCUCCCUGGCGGCGAGUGGCGCACGGGUGAGUAAUACAUCGGAACGUGUCUUCUAGUGGGGGAUAACUGCCCGAAAGGGCAGCUAAUACCGCAUGAGACCUGAGGGUGAAAGCGGGGGAUCGCAAGACCUCGCGCUGGAAGAGCGGCCGAUGUCCGAUUAGCUAGUUGGUGAGGUAAAGGCUCACCAAGGCGACGAUCGGUAGCUGGUCUGAGAGGACGACCAGCCACACUGGGACUGAGACACGGCCCAGACUCCUACGGGAGGCAGCAGUGGGGAAUUUUGGACAAUGGGGGCAACCCUGAUCCAGCCAUGCCGCGUGCAGGAUGAAGGUCUUCGGAUUGUAAACUGCUUUUGUCAGGGACGAAAAGGGAUGCGAUAACACCGUAUUCCGCUGACGGUACCUGAAGAAUAAGCACCGGCUAACUACGUGCCAGCAGCCGCGGU